AUGUAAAGGAGAGAAGGUUAGCACUUCCUUCACAAGGGUGGAAAAGGUUUUGGCCUGCAAUACACACACAGUUAUAUGUUGCCAUCUACUUUAUUUU
This 97-nucleotide non-coding RNA is filed under the name Sorex araneus (European shrew). The record is from RNAcentral. Lineage: Eukaryota; Metazoa; Chordata; Mammalia; Eulipotyphla; Soricidae.